This 102-nucleotide microRNA precursor is filed under the name Marmota monax (woodchuck). Lineage: Eukaryota; Metazoa; Chordata; Mammalia; Rodentia; Sciuridae. The record is from RNAcentral.
AGUGGGAUAGCUGGGUCAAAUGGUGGUUCCAUUCCAAGUUUUCUAAGAUAUCUCCAUAUGGCUUUCCAAAGUGGUUGUACCAUUUGCAACUCCACCAGCAAU